GCCUACUGUUUAAUUUUGAGGGUUCGUUUUUACGAAUACUCAAAAUUAGCACUUUUAGCAACAGAAUAAACUGAACGCAUGUGAAGUUUGUUUGUUGGCGACGUGCUUUAGCACUUUGAAAACUGCAUAUAUAUUUAGUGAUAUGACAUCUAAUUUGUAAUAUAUAAAGCUGAUAACUUUUUAAAAUUAUCGAAGUCGAUAGCUUCUAAUCUAUCAAACCUUUUUAACUGGUCAA
RNAcentral lists this unclassified non-coding RNA (235 nucleotides) under Clostridioides difficile. Its description in RNAcentral is "16S-23S ribosomal RNA intergenic spacer (ISR)". The record is from RNAcentral. Lineage: Bacteria; Bacillati; Bacillota; Clostridia; Peptostreptococcales; Peptostreptococcaceae.